UACGUAGGCAGCGAGCGUUGUUCGGAGUUACUGGGCGUAAAGCGUGCGUAGGCGGUGGCCCAAGUCUGGUGUGAAAUCUCCCGGCUCAACCGGGAGGGUGCGCCGGAAACUGGGUCGCUCGAGUACUGGAGAGGCAAGCGGAAUUCCUGGUGUAGCGGUGAAAUGCGUAGAUAUCAGGAGGAACACCCGUGGUGUAGACGGCUUGCUGGACAGUCACUGACGCUGAGGCACGAAAGCGUGGGGAGCAAACAGG
Molecule: ribosomal RNA, 253 nt
Filed under: uncultured bacterium
Lineage: Bacteria
Description: partial 16S ribosomal RNA
Rfam family: Bacterial small subunit ribosomal RNA
Source: RNAcentral